RNAcentral lists this ribosomal RNA (117 nucleotides) under Salix viminalis (osier). Lineage: Eukaryota; Viridiplantae; Streptophyta; Magnoliopsida; Malpighiales; Salicaceae. The record is from RNAcentral.
GCUUAUAGCAUUUCAUCGUGCAUGCACCGGAUCCCAUCAGAACUCCGCAGUUAAACGUGCUUGGGCGAGAGUAGUACUAGGAUGGGUGACCUCCUGGAAGUCCUCGUGUUGCACCCU